UUACCUUCGGGUAUUGAGGAUGGCGGACGGGUGAGUAACGCGUAAGGAACUUGCCUCUUGGUCUGGGACAACUGUUGGAAACGACAGCUAAUACCGGAUAUUAUGAGAUUCUCGCAUGGGAAACUUAUGAAAGCUAUAUGCGCCAAGAGAGAGCCUUGCGUUCCAUUAGCUAGUUGGUGGGGUAACGGCCCACCAAGGCGACGAUGGAUAGCCGGCCUGAGAGGGUGAACGGCCACAAGGGGACUGAGACACGGCCCUUACUCCUACGGGAGGCAGCAGUGGGGAAUAUUGGACAAUGGGCCACAAGCCUGAUCCAGCAAUUCUGUGUGCACGAUGAAGGUCUUCGGAUUGUAAAGUGCUUUCAGUUGGGAAGAAGAAAGUGACGGUACCAACAGAAGAAGCGACGGCUAAAUACGUGCCAGCAGCCGCGGUAAUACGUAUGUCGCAAGCGUUAUCCGGAUUUAUUGGGCGUAAAGCGCGUCUAGGCGGAAAAAUAAGUCUGAUGUUAAAAUGCGGGGCUCAACUCCGUAUUGCGUUGGAAACUGUUUUUCUAGAGUACUGGAGAGGUGGGCGGAACUACAAGUGUAGAGGUGAAAUUCGUAGAUAUUUGUAGGAAUGCCGAUGGAGAAGUCAGCUCACUGGACAGAUACUGACGCUAAAGCGCGAAAGCGUGGGGAGCAAACAGG
This 686-nucleotide ribosomal RNA is filed under the name uncultured bacterium. Its description in RNAcentral is "bacterial SSU rRNA". It matches the Rfam family "Bacterial small subunit ribosomal RNA", at positions 74 to 776 of the family's 1533-position model. The record is from RNAcentral.